This 492-nucleotide ribosomal RNA is filed under the name uncultured bacterium. RNAcentral's name for it is "partial 16S ribosomal RNA". It matches the Rfam family "Bacterial small subunit ribosomal RNA", at positions 29 to 507 of the family's 1533-position model. The record is from RNAcentral.
AGUGAACGCUGGCGGUAGGCCUAACACAUGCAAGUCGAACGGCAGCACAGUAAGAGCUUGCUCUUACGGGUGGCGAGUGGCGGACGGGUGAGGAAUACAUCGGAAUCUACUUUUUCGUGGGGGAUAACGUAGGGAAACUUACGCUAAUACCGCAUACGACCUACGGGUGAAAGCAGGGGAUCUUCGGACCUUGCGCGAUUGAAUGAGCCGAUGUCGGAUUAGCUAGUUGGCGGGGUAAAGGCCCACCAAGGCGACGAUCCGUAGCUGGUCUGAGAGGAUGAUCAGCGACACUAGAGCUGAGACACGGUCCAGACUCCUACGGGAGGCAGCAGUGGGGAAUAUUGGACAAUGGGGGCAAGCCUGGUCCAGCCAUACCGCGUGGGUGAAGGAGGCCUUGGGGGUGGGAAGCCCUUUUGUUGGGAAAAAAAAGCAGCAGGUUAAUACCCCGCGGUUCUGACGGUACCCAAAGAAUAAGCACCGGCUAACUUCGUG